GGUUACGUAGCUCAGUUGGUUAGAGCACAUCACUCAUAAUGAUACCGGCAUUCCCUGGUUCGAAUCCAGGUACCCACCA
RNAcentral lists this transfer RNA (79 nucleotides) under Escherichia coli 5-172-05_S4_C2. Its description in RNAcentral is "tRNA-Met". It matches the Rfam family "tRNA". From Rfam's summary of the family: Transfer RNA (tRNA) molecules are approximately 80 nucleotides in length. Lineage: Bacteria; Pseudomonadati; Pseudomonadota; Gammaproteobacteria; Enterobacterales; Enterobacteriaceae. The record is from RNAcentral.